This 736-nucleotide ribosomal RNA is filed under the name uncultured bacterium. RNAcentral describes it as "bacterial SSU rRNA". It matches the Rfam family "Bacterial small subunit ribosomal RNA", at positions 94 to 826 of the family's 1533-position model. The record is from RNAcentral.
AGUGGCGGACGGGUGAGUAAGGCAUGGGGAGCUGCCCAAUCGAGGGGGAUAACAACUGGAAACGGUUGCUAAUACCGCAUACGCCCUGCGGGGGAAAGGUGGGGACCAUUUGGCCUACCGCGAUUGGAUGCACCCAUGUGGGAUUAGCUAGUUGGUGAGGUAACGGCUCACCAAGGCGACGAUCUCUAGCUGGUCUGAGAGGAUGACCAGCCACACUGGAACUGAGACACGGUCCAGACUCCUACGGGAGGCAGCAGUGGGGAAUAUUGCACAAUGGGGGAAACCCUGAUGCAGCCAUGCCGCGUGUGUGAAGAAGGCCUUCGGGUUGUAAAGCACUUUCAGUAGGGAGGAAGGGAUGAUGCUUAAUACGUAUCAUCAUUGACGUUACCUACAGAAGAAGCACCGGCUAACUCCGUGCCAGCAGCCGCGGUAAUACGGAGGGUGCAAGCGUUAAUCGGAAUAACUGGGCGUAAAGCGCACGCAGGCGGUUAGAUAAGUCAGAUGUGAAAUCCCCGGGCUCAACCUGGGAACUGCAUUUGAAACUGUCUGACUAGAGUCUUGUAGAGGGGGGUAGAAUUCCAGGUGUAGCGGUGAAAUGCGUAGAGAUCUGGAGGAAUACCGGUGGCGAAGGCGGCCCCCUGGACAAAGACUGACGCUCAGGUGCGAAAGCGUGGGGAGCAAACGGGAUUAGAUACCCUGGUAGUCCACGCUGUAAACGAUGUCGAUUUGGAGUUUG